UGAGCAAUCUGCCCUUCUCUUCGGAAUAAGCGUUGGAAACGACGUCUAAUGCCGAAUACGACCUCCUUUCGCAUGAUCGGAGGUGGAAAGCUCCGGCGGAGAAGGAUGAGCUCGCGGCCUAUCAGCUAGUUGGUGUGGGUAAUGGCCCAUCAAGGCGACGACGGGUAGCCGGCCUGAGGAGGGCGAUCGGCCACACGUGGGACUGAGACACCGGCCCAGACUCCGUAGGGAGG
This 233-nucleotide ribosomal RNA is filed under the name uncultured bacterium. RNAcentral describes it as "partial 16S ribosomal RNA". It matches the Rfam family "Bacterial small subunit ribosomal RNA", at positions 118 to 348 of the family's 1533-position model. The record is from RNAcentral.